RNAcentral lists this ribosomal RNA (497 nucleotides) under uncultured bacterium. RNAcentral's name for it is "partial 16S ribosomal RNA". It matches the Rfam family "Bacterial small subunit ribosomal RNA", at positions 28 to 507 of the family's 1533-position model. The record is from RNAcentral.
GAUGAACGCUGGCGGCGUGCCUAAUACAUGCAAGUCGAGCGAACGGACGAGAAGCUUGCUUCUCUGAUGUUAGCGGCCGACGGGUGAGUAACACGUGGAUAACCUACCUAUAAGACUGGGAUAACUUCGGGAAACCGGAGCUAAUACCGGAUAAUAUUUUGAACCGCAUGGUUCAAAAGUGAAAGACGGUCUUGCUGUCACUUAUAGAUGGAUCCGCGCUGCAUUAGCUAGUUGGUAAGGUAACGGCUUACCAAGGCAACGAUGCAUAGCCGACCUGAGAGGGUGAUCAGCCACACUGGAACUGAGACACGGUCCAGACUCCUACGGGAGGCAGCAGUAGGGAAUCUUCCGCAAUGGGCGAAAGCCUGACGGAGCAACGCCGCGUGAGUGAUGAAGGUCUUCGGAUCGUAAAACUCUGUUAUUAGGGAAGAACAUAUGUGUAAGUAACUGUGCACAUCUUGACGGUACCUAAUCAGAAAGCCACGGCUAACUACGUG